CCUACGGGAGGCAGCAGUGGGGAAUAUUGCACAAUGGGGGAAACCCUGAUGCAGCGACGCCGCGUGAGUGAGGAAGUAUUUCGGUAUGUAAAGCUCUAUCAGCAGGGAAGAAAAUGACGGUAACUGACUAAGAAGCCCCGGCUAACUACGUGCCAGCAGCCGCGGUUAUACGUAGGGGGCAAGCGUUAUCCGGAUGUACUGGGGGUAAAGGGAGCGUAGACGGAAGAGCAAGUCUGAAGUGAAAACCCGGGGCUCAACCCCGGGAGUGCAUUGGAAACUGUUGUUCUAGAGUGUCGGAGGGGCAAGCGGAAUUCCUGGGGGAGCGGUGAAAUGCGUAGAUAUUAGGAGGAACACCAGUGGCGAAGGCGGCUUGCUGGACGAUGACUGACGUUGAGGCUCGAAAGCGUGGGGAGCAAACAGGAUUAGAUACCCGAGUAGUC
Molecule: ribosomal RNA, 440 nt
Filed under: uncultured bacterium
Lineage: Bacteria
Description: partial 16S ribosomal RNA
Rfam family: Bacterial small subunit ribosomal RNA
Source: RNAcentral